CACGCUUCCACCCACUCACACGCGACCGCACACAAUGUUGUGACCAAGGUUCGAUUCCCAGGGCCGCUGCACUGGAGCCCCCCUUUUUUCCCCUUCCGAGACGAGAGAAGGGAUACAGGAGUCGGGCGAGAUCAGAAGACCGUGCCUGCGGCUCCAUAGCACCUACACGGUUUAGGCGAAACGCACAGCAGCUCCAAGCAUCGGCUACCUCCGCUCUCUUCUCUUCCUGUCGAUCUCUGUCCUCCAACUUCUCGUGCAUGUCGUGCUAUCGUCACUGACGGGCGAGGGCAUGGCGGGGGGCGCGACGCCGGCCGGAGCCGCUGCCUGGUGACGCGUGGCCGCAGCGGGGCGCACCGUCUUGGGGCGUGUGGAGGCCAUGACGAACGGGGCACGAUGCCUGCCAGGGCCGCUGGGGUUCCGGAUCUGGCAGGCUAAGCAGCGGCUCACUCCCGAGUUCUGUUAGUCCCCCUCUACCUUGUUCAUACAUCCAUCUCGGGGCUAGGGCAGCGUUAGCCAUGCUGCCGUAGAACGGCUGAUGGUCAUGGGCAACGGCAAACUACGAGCGUCAGUGACCUAGGUGCCCGGCCGUUCUGGCUCUUGUCCCAGUGGACGGUGCUCUUCAAAGCUUUGCUCCCUCUCCCUGCCAGCAGCCCAACACCGGGCACUGAUGAGGCAUUGGACGAUGGAGCAUGGUCAGAGAGAGAUACAUGCAUGGGAAGAUAAACAGAGAAAAAAUGAAGCCACUUGAGGAAGCCACGCGGGUGGAUAGGGAUGAAGUUGGAGCCAAUAUUGCUUUUUCACGUGGACCCCAUCGUCCAAUUCUAUAGGAGCCAUCAAGGAUACUAUUGUGUGGUAUAUAGACAUCCUGAUUUAUUCUAGAUUUUUUUCGCUGGCCAAAGUUAGGGAGCGAGGAUAUAUGUUUGAGUGCACACAAGAUUAUAGAAAAAUUAUUAGAGGGCAAUAUUGUGUGGUAUAUAGACAUAAAAAAAGAAAAAAAACCGACUCAGCCCAUCUCCGUCUCCAGUGCCGAUGCAGCCAGGGACGCAGGCUGCACGCCGACGCCGUGAUAAACGCAGUAAGUAUACUUGCUUCCCGAUUAUAUUGCUGACCAUCUGCACAUGGAGAAGCUCGAUGUCGCCAAGGUGGUAGGACAGUGGGAGACCACGGCCGUCGCCGCUGCUAGGUUCUCCGGCGAGCUGGAUCCCGAGUUCAGAACUCAAGUCACCAUGGAAAUAGAAGGGGAGGAAGGAAAUGUUAAUGUUGUCAAUUCUAAAGAUCCUUUGCUCAAAUUUGUGGCGGACAACGAUUGCAUUUCCAGAGCUGAUCUCACCCAACAAAAGGAUCAAGUGGCUAUGCAUAUAGAAUAACAAGAAGUGAAGACCGUUGAUGGCAAUGUUGGAGAAGAAAUGAGUUGCAGCCAUCAUCCCAGUCACAACAAACGAAAGAAAAUAAAUCACACAUGCCUCAAGUUGAUCCUGCGGGAGUUGUGGCAGGCACCAGAUCAGUUCAAGUGGCGGCCAAAGCUGAAGUCACACUAGAAAAUGAAGUUGCCAUGGACAAAGUAUAUGAAGUGAAGGUCAGUGUUGGCAACGCUGGAGAAGAAAAUGAGAUGGAGGCACACAUACCUCAAGUUCAGCUCGAAGUUGUGGCAGCCAAAGCAGAUGUCACCCAACAAAAGGGAAUACUUUGUGUUCUAUAUUACAAAACUACUGUUAGUGUAAAGAAAUAAAACUAAUGUUUCAGUAAAUUCCUUACAGAUCAAGGUGCAAUGGAACAAUAAGUGACAGCCAGUGUUGGCAAAGUUGGAGAAGAAAUUAAGUUGGAGGGAGUUGUGGUGGGCAGCGACUGUACUUCCAGUUCAAUUCAAGUGCCGAAUCAAGUUGCCAUUGAUAUAGAAGAAGAGGAACUGAAGGUCGUUGGCACUGUUAGAGAAGAAUGUGAGUUGCAGUCAUCUGCGUCACCACGUAAGAAACAAAAGAAAUCACACAUAUAAAAGAUUGUUCGUCCACCCGGCGAGCAUAUAUAAUAUAUAUUCUCUAUGUUUAAUUUGUAAAGUGGGUAGCAAAUUAAUAAGUUAACUUACUAUCUAUCAUUCACACAAUAGACAUUCAUUAAGGACGGAAUUUUUGGUGGACAUGUUGCAGAGUCUUGAAAAUGAACAUGCAAGCCCGUUCGCUUGUCUUAUUAGCCGUAUUUUUUCUG
Sorghum bicolor (sorghum) is the source of this 2202-nucleotide long non-coding RNA. RefSeq lists it as uncharacterized. The record is from RefSeq and is a predicted model, not a curated record. The transcript is spliced from 4 exons. Lineage: Eukaryota; Viridiplantae; Streptophyta; Magnoliopsida; Poales; Poaceae.